GACCGCGUAGCUCAGUUGGAAGAGCAUUGGGCUAGUAUUCCAAAGAUCGUAGGUUCGAAUCCCAUCGUGGCCG
RNAcentral lists this transfer RNA (73 nucleotides) under Paramuricea clavata. It matches the Rfam family "tRNA". Rfam says of the family: Transfer RNA (tRNA) molecules are approximately 80 nucleotides in length. The record is from Rfam by way of RNAcentral. Lineage: Eukaryota; Metazoa; Cnidaria; Anthozoa; Malacalcyonacea; Plexauridae.